This is a non-coding RNA of Coturnix japonica (Japanese quail), 235 nucleotides long. NCBI's taxonomy places the organism in Eukaryota, Metazoa, Chordata, Aves, Galliformes, Phasianidae. The record is from RefSeq and is a predicted model, not a curated record.
UCACACAAUAUAUCCUCUUUUUUGUGAAGAUGCAAUCAGAUUACUUCGCUCCCGUAAGAUGUGCCGUACCUACUCUGAGGGUGCUUACUAUGAUCUUGAGAGGAGGACUAGGCAUGAGAGAAGAGUGCCUAAUACAUAUUACGAUGACACAACCUAUACUCCUGAAAGGUGGUACAAUGGUGCAAGUUCAUGGGCAGAUCAUAUAGUCAAUGGUUCAGCUGAAAAUUAUGGGUAA